AGUGAACGCUGGCGGUAGGCCUAACACAUGCAAGUCGAACGGCAGCACAGUAAGAGCUUGCUCUUACGGGUGGCGAGUGGCGGACGGGUGAGGAAUACAUCGGAAUCUACUUUUUCGUGGGGGAUAACGUAGGGAAACUUACGCUAAUACCGCAUACGACCUACGGGUGAAAGCAGGGGAUCUUCGUACCUUGCGCGAUUGAAUGAGCCGAUGUCGGAUUAGCUAGUUGGCGGGGUAAAGGCCCACCAAGGCGACGAUCCGUAGCUGGUCUGAGAGGAUGAUCAGCCACAAUGGAACUGAGACACGGUCCAGACUCCUACGGGAGGCAGCAGUGGGGAAUAUUGGACAAUGGGCGCAAGCCUGAUCCAGCCAUACCGCGUGGGUGAAGAAGGCCUUCGGGUUGUAAAGCCCUUUUGUUGGGAAAGAAAAGCAGCAGGUUAAUACCCCGCUGUUCUGACGGUACCCAAAGAAUAAGCACCGGCUAACUUCGUG
Molecule: ribosomal RNA, 492 nt
Filed under: uncultured bacterium
Lineage: Bacteria
Description: partial 16S ribosomal RNA
Rfam family: Bacterial small subunit ribosomal RNA
Source: RNAcentral